GUAGAGUGCCAGAUAUAAAUGGGUCAGAGUUAGGGUUUGAAUAUAGGUUGUUACCUCUCUAUU
This 63-nucleotide transfer RNA is filed under the name Schistosoma mansoni. RNAcentral describes it as "tRNA-Leu". The record is from RNAcentral. Lineage: Eukaryota; Metazoa; Platyhelminthes; Trematoda; Strigeidida; Schistosomatidae.